Molecule: long non-coding RNA, 856 nt
Organism: Canis lupus familiaris (dog)
Lineage: Eukaryota; Metazoa; Chordata; Mammalia; Carnivora; Canidae
Exons: 3
Source: RefSeq, a predicted model, not a curated record
GCCAAGCAGCCAAGCAGUGAGGGAGCCAGACAGCCACGUGGAGAGGUCCCACAUAGGUGAUCUGACCAACCAUUCCAGCAGAGGAGGUCUCAGCUGUCAGCUGCCACCCACCGCCAGACAGUGUCUCACACUACACCCUGGUCACACUGGUCUUCGUUCUCUUCCUCAAAGACUGCAAGCUCUUUCCUACUUGAAGCCUUUGCAUUUUGAUCCUCUCCUCUGGAAAUGGCUUUGAAGAACACUCGACCCAAGGUUUGGUAUUUGGUCUCCCCAUGAAGCUGUGAGUCCGAACCAAUUACUCUUUGGUGAAGCCCGCAUGUCAACAACUUUCUCUGUUCUUCCACUGCUUCCAAUCAGAACUGCAGUGCCUCACACAUCAAUAUGAAUGGGCAGCUAAGAAUUACUUGAUAUUUCUAGAAGGCCUUCAACAUGAUAGGCAUACAUCCAAACUAAGAGGAAAAAGGAAUAUAGAAAAAAAUGGUGAAGAAGAAAAGCACAGAAACCAUAACUAAUAUUUUUUAGAAUGAUAAAAGAAGGUUAUGCCUUCUUUAAAUGAGAACUGGGGGUGACUUUUUUAAAAGGAGCAGAAGAAAGAAAAUUCUUGGACAUGCAAAUAUAACAUCCACAUUUUAUUAAAAGGCAAAGGAAGAUUUGGACUAUAAAAUCAGGACAAAGUCCCAAAAAGUAUAACAAAGAAAUGGAAAUUGACAGAAAAAUUUAGAUGGUCAGUUUAGGAGCAGCAUUGUAAGUCCUAGAGAGAAAUAAAAUUUUAAAAGGAUGGAGGUGCCUGGGUGGCUCAGUAGGUUACGCAUCUGCCUUUGGCUUAGGAUGGAGCCUGCAUCUGACUCCCUGCCUG